AGCGACAGGCUUAACACAUGCAAGUCGAGGGUAACAGGUAGCAAUACCGCUGACGACCGGCGCACGGGUGAGUAACGCGUAUGCAACCUGCCUAUAACUGGGGAAUAGCUCCCUGAAAGGGGAAUUAACACCGCAUAACACUAUUGAUUCGCAUGAAUUGGUAGUUAAAUGUAGCGAUACAGGUUAUAGAUGGGCAUGCGUGACAUUAGCUAGUUGGUGAGGUAACGGCUCACCAAGGCUACGAUGUCUAGGGGUUCUGAGAGGAAGGUCCCCCACACUGGUACUGAGACACGGACCAGACUCCUACGGGAGGCAGCAGUGAGGAAUAUUGGUCAAUGGGCGCAAGCCUGAACCAGCCAUGUCGCGUGCAGGAAGACUGCCCUAUGGGUUGUAAACUGCUUUUAUAGUAGAAGAAACACAUCUACGAGUAGAUGUCUGCCAGUAUACUAUGAAUAAGCAUCGGCUAACUCCGUGCCAGCAGCGGC
Molecule: ribosomal RNA, 485 nt
Filed under: uncultured bacterium
Lineage: Bacteria
Description: bacterial SSU rRNA
Rfam family: Bacterial small subunit ribosomal RNA
Source: RNAcentral